UAACUCAACUGGAGAUCCAUAAGUAGGAUGGAUUUGAGUUGAUGUAAUCCCAUUAUUUCAGCUCCAUACUUUACCUCCCUUCAUAGUCAGGUUGCUGUCAAAAGGACUGUACCAAUUUCCAGCCUCAUAUCCAAGUUCAAACAUGUCCAAAGUAGGUGUGAAUUACUUCUGAAAGUUCUCCUGGAAAAGCUUUCCUGGAAGCAUCCUGCCAACCUAUUGUUGCAACUCAUGGAGGUGAAAUGGGCAACAUGCACAAUCCUAAUCCAGUCCCUGGCAAGAGGGUGAUAAUUACCCUUAGACCAGCAGACCACCCUGGAGCGGAGGAUGCUGAGCUACACCAACUGUGCAUAAGGGGGAGGGAUUCCUGAACAUCAGGAUUCUGUUGGCAAGGGAGGAGGAAGAAAAGAAUGUUGAGUAGGUAACAAACUCAUCUUCAGUAUUCCCAGAAUCUUGUAGACAUACUUAAAAAAGAAAAAAAAAA
Non-coding RNA from Manis javanica (Malayan pangolin), 481 nucleotides. The record is from RefSeq and is a predicted model, not a curated record. Lineage: Eukaryota; Metazoa; Chordata; Mammalia; Pholidota; Manidae.